Molecule: non-coding RNA, 417 nt
Organism: Odocoileus virginianus texanus
Lineage: Eukaryota; Metazoa; Chordata; Mammalia; Artiodactyla; Cervidae
Source: RefSeq, a predicted model, not a curated record
GACCUGCUCGCCCAAAGCCCGCCGAACCACACGCACUUGAACCUGUGUCCGUUCUUGCCCCCAGAGAGGGCAUAUCUGGACCAGCUUGGGCACACACUCAAGCCUGAGCCAUCGCCAUCAGCCACCUGAGACACCGAGGGAUUUGUUUCUCCAUCCCACCCGGAGGGUUGGGUGUACUGUCUUUACUCCCCGAGGAGAAAACAGGAGGCAGACAGGUGGAUUACGGACAUCACCCCGCCCCCCAGGUUCCUUGCAUUGACUCCAUGGAGAGUGUAUCACCUGAUUUCCGUCAUGAUCCUUACACGUGUUAUUAUGCAGAUAAUAAAGGAUAUGAUUUUGUCUAGAACAAGAGGUGCCCAGUUGUGGAGAAGCCUCAGUGAAAGGUGGUGUUAGUGGUAAAGAACCUGCCUGCCAGUU